Molecule: long non-coding RNA, 10660 nt
Organism: Scylla paramamosain (green mud crab)
Lineage: Eukaryota; Metazoa; Arthropoda; Malacostraca; Decapoda; Portunidae
Exons: 3
Source: RefSeq, a predicted model, not a curated record
AUACCACCUUGAAUAGUGCAUUGCUAGCUGUCUCUCCUCUCUGUAGCUGUCCUGGUGUCUAUUGGUUUCCUUUUGGCUGUAUGCUGCGUCGAAUGUGGUGCUAAGACUUGAUAUACAGACAUUAUAUUGCGGUAAAGUGGCUUACAGCAGGAAAGGAGACACAACUGGCUCAUCCGAGUCAAGCAUGUUAACUGUGAUGAGCAAAGUGAACAAGUAUUAUAAGAUGUUUUUGGCAAGGAAAAGAUGUGGUGGGAAUAAUGACUGCAUAAUAUUAUAAGGUUUAUAAUUCCUGUUAAUCACUUACUUGAAGAGGACAGAUAUUGUGGGUAUGGGAAAAGUCUAAGAUGGCAGAGGGACACCAUCCACACCACACAAGACAGUCCAGCAAUCUGGAAGGAAGACCAGCACAAUACCACAGCAAUUGAUGCAGAGCAGCAGAUUUUCUGCCUCCCAGGAUGCUGUAAUUUUUCAAUGGACAUCAGUGAUAUGCUUUGAUUAGUGUGACAGUGGAGGAGGAAGCGGAGGAGGCAGCUUGCUGUAGCAGUAUGUUAUCACAGUCCUAAAAGGAUUACAGUAAGCACUACAUUUCUCAUUGAGAAACAUUUUGUUAGCAGGAGCAACAAAUUCUGGCAGUCCUGUAAAGGAAGUUACUUCAAGGCAAUAUAUCUCAUGUAAUGAGUAUCAUCAGAUUUGUUUAAUUUUGACCAGGUUUCUGAUUCCAUUAUUGGAGGCAAGGAUACUGGUGAACAUGACAAAAGUUUGAAACUUGGAAACCAUGCAUUUUUUUUUCUUUUUUUUUCUUUUUUUGUGAUUAGAGAACUAAUGAGAAAUGGAAAUGUUUUUUUUUAGGAUAUUCCUUUUCUCUGGGAAAGAUUGAUAUCAUGUAGUGUGAUGACAUGUUCAUUAGGUUUAAGACAUUGAUACUAGAGUAACUGCACUUUUUUUUUUUUCUUUCUCUGACCAAGAGGGAAUACAAUGUUCUUCUCUUAGAAUCUUGGCAUGUUUGCCGUUAGCGGUGAAUGGAUCCAUUUCUCGUACAAUUCACCAAAGCUUUUGAUGAGACUAAGUAACACUAUUUUGAAGGAGAAAAAUAAAGUACAUACAGGGUAAUAUAAUUAAAUGCUGAAUUUUGAAUGAUCAUCAGCUAAAAUAUGAGAUUUGCUCCAAACUGGUAAAUUCAAGUAAUGAACAGAAUAGACAUACAUUCCAUGGUAGGCUUACUGGCACAAGAAGCUGUCCUUAUUGCAAUAUAGGCAUGUAUAUCAGGUGCAUAGAUCCUUUUCAUUAUUGAAAUAGUUUAGUUACUCUUCAUUUUAAUGAUGUUUAUUGCUAAAUCUUGUAAAAUUUGCAAGGAAUGCAAGAACAUCAUGGAAACUGCCAUUCACACACUCUAGCAAGACAGCACUUCAGGUGCUGUGGCAUGACUGGUCUUUCUUCAGUUCCCUUACCUUAGUUAUUAAUUGGAUGAACGAUGAACCAUACUUCCUAGCCAAGAUUAAGACUCGGAUUACUCACUGACUUCAGUUCCUAACUCUAAAUGUGAAGAUAGAGUGAUGGCAUCAGACUACUUCUAGUUCAUAAUCUUUACCAUGUAACUGACUGUGCCUAAAGAUUUUUGAGCCUCAUGAAUGUCAAAUGACAAGGAUAUUUUGUAAGAUACCAGCCAUCAGUUAGACAGCAGCAAUGAGGCAGAUUAGAUUUGUGAUUUAGGUGGCCUUUUCAUUCCCCAAUGAGGAAAAAAGUGUAUUUUCUUUACCUGUCAUAAGUUUGUGUUGCUUCUGCAUGUGUUUCAGCAACUACCCAAAAGCUUUACUUUCAUCAGACUUGGAGUAUUUUAUGUCCCUAAAUAGGAAAUAGGAAGAAGAAAUAAAUAUGAAAAGUUGAAUAGUAAAUUUGCAUACAGUACACAGAUGUGUGCACAAAAUUUCUUUCUAAGGGUUUUUGUUUUCCUUUUCACUGUAUUCUUGCAAACUAUUCUGCUCUUGUCCUACUGUCUCAUUGCAUGUCCCAUGUCCAAGCUCAGGAUGCUGUAUUUUGUCCUUCAUAUAAUGUUUUCUUCAUUUUAUCAUGAUGCAUUAUUCAUAUAUAUAAGAUAUCUCUCAUAAUGUAUUUUCUCCAAAUAUAUGUAAUUUUAGAUAUAUCUUACAGUAACAUUUGAUAUCAGUCCUCUUAUUUUUCUCAUGUAAUGCAGCAUUUCAUCAGGUUUGUGCUGUCUGUUACAGCAUAUGCAGGAAUUAUUUAAAUUCUGCAUGUUUACUUUGUGCUGACAUAAAUGCUUCUCUUCUCUGAAAUUUUCUUUGGUUAGCUACAUGUUAUUAAUACUAUAUCUUUAGCUGCCAUAUGCCCACUGUAUAUCUUUACUUCAAUGUUGUUGUUGUUGUUGUUGUUGUUGUUGUUGUUGUUGUUGUUGUUGUUGUUGUAUGCAGUAUUGAGUUGCUAUGUCAUUUGUUCUGAUAUGGAAGUCUUUGCGUUCUCUGUUAGGUGGUGUAGCCUUGCUAUGCUGACUCCGUUACCUACUGAUGUACAUUCAAAACAGAGUUGAUAUGGGUAGAUAUUAAGGAACGAUCACAGUCAGCAGUACUGGGAGUAGUGUACAGGCCACCAAACAGUACAAAGGAAAUUAACACCUCACUAUGGCAGGUGAUAAAUAGAGCAGGAAGGUACAGUCAGGUAUGUGUGAUAGGAGAUUUUAGUUUUAGGAAUAUCAAAUGGAGCCUGAUGGUGGGUGACAAGGAAGCAGAGGAAUCUCUUAAGGUAAUUCAGGAUAAUUUUUUAAAACAAGUAGUCGUAGAACCUACAAGGGGGAACAAUAUUCAAUCUAAUUCUUACUAACAAGGAGGAAGCAGUCAUGCAGAUAGAGGUUAGAGGACAGCUAGGCAACAGUGACCAUUAGGAAAUUAGGUACAAAUAAAAAUGGGGAGAAACUUUUAAAAGCAAAAACACUAGUAAAAUACGUGACUUUAGGAGAGCAGAUUUUGAGGAAUUAAAAAGGUACCUCAAAGGAGUUGACCGGUAAUGGUUGCAGGGUGAGGUCAGGUCUGGGACGGAAUUGAGAGAGAUAAGGCAGGAUAAGAGAGGUGAGGUGAGGUGUGAGGGUGUAGGACAAGAGGAGGGAAGAUGUGUCCGGAAGGGGCGCAGGAGAGAGAGAGGGGGAGAUAGGUGUGAGUAUGUUGAAGGGUCAGGUCAUGCUGAAAUGGGAGAGGUGAGGACAAGGUAAGUAAAUGAGGGAGUGGAGAGGAUGGAAGGGGCUGAGAUGAGAGGAUUAGGUAAAAUAAAUGUAGAUGAGUUGUAUAUUUCAUAGACAAACUGCAUACAGGACAGCUAGCAAACAUCCCAUAUAGAGCAAUAAGAUCACAAAAAAAUUACCCUAAAUUGAUGACUGCUAGAUUAAAACAUUAUAUAGGAUGGAAGAGAAGUAUAUAUAAGAGAUUAAAGGCAGGUGAAGAGGUUUUAAGGCCACAAUAUAAUGAAUUAGAACAGUCAGGAGAUUAACGAGGAAAGCUAAGGGCAAUUAUGAAUUAAGGGUGGCCAGCCAGGCGAAGAUGGACCCCAAGGGAUUUUAUCAGGUAUACAGGAUAAAGAAUAAGAAUACUAUAGGUCCAUUACAGGCAGCAGAUAGGGGCAGGGGAAGACUAAUGUCAGCAGUGUUGGAACUAGAAGACUAUUUUAAAAGGGAAUCGUUGAAACUAAAUUGGCAAGUGAAGGGGAUAUACUAAAUAUUGGUGAAGGAAAAUACAACCUCUAGAUGAGAAAUAGAAAGAAUAAAUGGCAAGGAGGUGUGAUGCUUCUAGUUAGGAAGAAUUUAUUAGUGGAAUCUGUCACGUAUGGAGUGGAGGAGGCAGAAGUAUUGAAAAUAGGCUAAAGACAGAAUAUUGGAAGAUACCAUAAUGUUGUGGUGACUUAUGUUACCCCUGUUCCAACUCUUGGAGAAAGGAUGAAUGCUUGAGGACACAAGGACAUGUUUGACAGAGCUGCUUGAGGAAAAUGAUGAUAUAAUCCUGAUGGGGAACUCUAACUGUAAAGAGAUAUCUUGGGAGAAUUGGAUCACAGAAGGCAGUGAGUCAUCAUGGGGGAACAAGCUAUUAGACCUGGCUAUUGAAAAUGUCCUGACACAAUGGGUUACAGAUGACACAAGAUUUAGGAGAAAUGAAGCACCUUCAAGGCUUGAUCUAAUUUUCACCAAGGAACAAGAAAUAGCAGAAGACCUUUAAUACAUAAACCCAAUAGGAAAAAGUGAUCAUGUGCUGAUUCAGUUCACAGUUAUGGAUAAUAACCUCAGUAUAAGGAAAGAGAACCACAGAAGAGAAUGGCUAAACUACAGCAAGACUAACUUUGGACAACCUAGGAAGUAUUUCAGUGAAGUAAAUUGGAACAUAGUUAUUCAAAAGGAGGACAUAGAGGAAAAGUGGACAGCUUUCCUACACAUUUAUAAUAAGGGAGUAGAGAAAUGGGUACCCAAAAGAUCAACUGAGAACCUUUUCAAAAAGGAUUGGUACAAUAGAUGUGCAACAGCUAAAUUGGAGAGAGAAAAAGUAUGGAACAAGUGGAAGAAAAACAAGAGACUGGACCUGUGGAACAAUUACAUAAGGAAGAGGAACGAAUAUGUCAAAACUCACAGAGAUGAUCAGAAAAAUUUUGAAAAGAAUGUUGUGGAGAAAUGUAAACACCAACCAAAAUUAUUUUAUUAAUUCAUCAAUGGAAAAUUAAAGAGUUAAGAUGAAAUAAGCAUGGUAAAAGCUGGAGAAGAGACAGUGGAUGACCCAGAAAAGGUAGAUGAAGUGUUUAACAGAUACUUCCACUCUGAGUUCACUAAGGAAAAUUAUUUCAGAGGUGAGAGGACAGCAUUAGAAAAAGGGACCAACCUAAAGGAGAUUAAAACCUCAGUAGAAGUAAAGAUUAUGUUGGAAGACCUGGAUGUAAGGAAAGCAAUGGGUCCUGAUAGUGUAUCAAGUUGGAUUUCAAAAGAGUGUAGCUCACAAUUAGUCUCAGUGCUGCACAAUAUAAUUAGCACCACCCUGGUAAAAGGUAGAGUACCCAUGGUUUGGAAAUGUGCGGAUAUUACCCCAAUUCACAAGACCGGAAAUAAAGAUCCAUUAAAUUAUAGACCUGUAUCACUCACAAGUGUGGUGGCAAAGAUUUGUCAAAAGAUUAUCAAGAACAGGUGGGUAAAACAUCUAGAAGACAACAAGGUGAUAACAGAGAAACAGUUUGGCUUCAGAAAAGGAAGAUCUUGUGUUACAAAUUUGAUAAGUUUCUACUCAAGAGUAAUAGAUAUAGUGCAAGAGAGAGAGAUGGAUGGUUCGACUGCAUAUACUUAGAUUUGAGAAAAGCAUUUGAUAAAGUUCUGCACAGAAGACUAAUAUGGAAAUUGGAAAAAAUUGGAGGACUCGCUGGAUCACUGUUAAAGUGGAUGACUGACUUUUUGACAGAUAAAUGUGGACAGUAAUUAAAGGCAGCAGGUCGAACUGGAAAACGGUAAUAAGUGGAGUCCAGCAAGGUUCAGUACUUGCACCUAUUAUGUUCACAGUUUAUGUAAACGAUAUGACAGAAGGUGUAGAAAGUUACAUGAACCUUUUCACGUUAAGAUUAUGAGGAAAGUAACAAAUGAAGAAGACUGCAAUGCUUUAAAUCAGGACUUAAUUAAGAUUAAUGAAUGGUCAUUGAGGUGGAACAUGGAGUUUAACGCUAAAAAAUGUAGUGUGAUGAGGUUUGGAAAAAGUGUGAGAAGACCAGUUGGCAACUAUUACUUAAGGAAUGAGGAAAUCUCUAUAAGAUCAUAAGAAAAAGACCUAGGAGUAAUUAUUACUAAUAAUUUAUCAUUUGGGAAGCACAUAAACAAAACUAUAGGAGAAACAUAUAAUCUGCUGAGAAACAUCAAGAUCGCAUUCUCAUAUACUGAUGAAGAUAUGAUAAAAAAAAAAUGAUAACAACGAUGAUACGUCCAAGAUUGGAGUACACAGCAUCAGUGUGGUCACCAAGUUUGAAAAAGGAUACAAGAUAGUUAAAAAGAACCCAGAGAGCUGCAACUAAAAUCCCUGCAAGCUUAAGAGAGUAUAGUUAUGAGGAAAGGUUGAAGAGAUUGGGCCUGACUACACUAGAGAAAAGGAGGGAAAGAGGUGAUUUGAUAGCAAUAUAUAGAAUAUUGGAAGGAGUGGAAAAGUUGGACAGAGAAGACCUCAUGAUACCAGAUACAAGAGACAAAAGAGGACAUGGAAGGAAAUUGAAAAGGAGUGUUUGCAGAAGCAAUAGGACGGUAGUUUGAGGGAUUAGAACGGUCACCCUUUUUAGGAACAGGUUCAGUGUAGGCAAACUUCCAGCAAGAAGGAAAGGUAGAUGUUGACAGACAGAGCUGAAAGAGUUUGACUAGGCAAGGUGCAAGCACGGAGGCACAGUUUCAGAGAACAAUAGGAGGGACCCUAUCAGGUCCAUAAGCCUUCCGAGGGUUUAGGCCAUCAAGGGCAUGGAAAACAUCAUUGCGAAGAAUUUUAGUAGGUGGCAUGAAGUAGUCAGAGGGUGGAGGAGAGGGAGGAACAAGCCCAGAAUCGUCCAAGGUAGAGUUUUUAGCAAAGGUCUGAGCGAAGAGUUCAGCUUUAGAAAUAGAUGUGAUAGCAGUGGUGCCAUCUGGUUGAAAUAGAGGAGGGAAAGAAGAAGAAACAAAGUUAUUGGAGAUAUUUUCGGCUAGAUGCCAGAAGUCAUGAGGGGAGUUAGAUCUUGAAAGGUUUUGACACUUUCUGUUAAUGAAGGAGUUUUUGGCUAGUUGGAGAACAGACUUGACAUGGUUCUGGGCAGAAAUAUAAAGUGCAUGAGAUUCUGGUGAUGGAAGGCUUAACUACCUUUUGUGGGCCACCUCUCUAUCAUGUAUAGCACAAGAACAAACUGUGUUAAACCAAGGUUUAGAAGGUUUAGGUCGAGAAAAAGAGUGAGGAAUGUAUGCCUCCAUGCCAGACACUAUCAACUCUGUUAUGCGCUCAGCACACAAAGACGGGUCUCUGACACGGAAGCAGUAGUCAUUCCAAGGUAAAUCAGCAAAAUACCUCCUCAAACUACCGUCCUAUUGCUUUAAUUUCCUGCCUAUCUAAAGUUUUUGAAUCUAUCCUCAACAGGAAGAUUCUUAAACAUCUAUCACUUCACAACCUUCUAUCUGAUCGCCAGUAUGGGUUCCGUCAAGGCCGCUCUACUGGUGAUCUUCUGGCUUUCCUUACUGAGUCUUGGUCAUCCUCUUUUAGAGAUUUUGGUGAAACUUUUGUUGUUGCCUUGGACAUAUCAAAAGCUUUUGAUAGAGUCUGGCACAAAGCUUUGAUUUCCAAACUACCCUCCUACGGCUUCUAUCCUUCUUUCUGUAACUUCAUCUCAAGUUUCCUUUCUGACUGUUCUAUUGCUGCUGUGGUAGACGGUCCCUGUUCUUCUCCUAAAUCUAUUAACAGUGGUGUUCCUCAGGGUUCAGUCCUGUCACCCACUCUCUUCUUAUUAUUAAUUGAUAAUCUUCUAAACCAAACUUCUUGUCCUAUCCACUCCUACGCUGAUGAUACCAUCCUGCACUUUUCCACGUCUUUUCAUAGACGUCCAACCCUUCAGGAGGUAAACAUUUCACGCAGCGAAGCCACAGAAUGCUUGACUUCUGAUCUUUCUAAAAUUUCUGACUGGGGCAGAGCAAUUUUGGUAUUGUUCAAUGCCUCAAAAACUCAAUUCCUCCAUCUAUCAACUCGACACAACCUUCCAGACACAACCUCCUUCAAUGACACUCAACUGUCCCCCUCUUUUACACUGAACAUCCUCGGUCUGUCCUUUACUUAUAAUCUAAACUGGAAACUUCACAUCUCAUCUCUAGCUAAAACAGCUUCUACAAAGUUAGGCGUUCUGAGACGUCUCCGCCAGUAUUUCUCACCCCCCAGCUGCUAACUCUGUACAAGGGCCUUAUCCAUCCAUGUAUGGAGUAUGCUUCACAUGUCUGGGGGGGUUCCACUCAUAUUGCUCUUCUAGACAGGGUGGAAUCAAAAGCUUUUUGUCUCAUCAACUCCUCUCCUCUAACUGACUGUCUUCAACCUCUCUCUCACCGCCGCAAUGUUGCAUCUCUAGGUGUCUUCUACCGCUAUUUUCAUGCUAACUGCUCUUCUGAUCUUGCUAACUGCAUGCCUCCCCUCCUCACUGCACAAGACUUUCUUCUUUCUCUCAUCCCUAUUCUGUCCAUCUCUCUAAUGCACGAGUUAACCAGUAUUCUCAAUCAUUCAUCCCUUUCUCUGGUAAACUCUGGAACUCCCUACCUGCUUCUGUAUUUCCACCUUCCUAUGACUUGAAUUCCUUCAAGAGGGAAGUUUCAAGACUACUGCUUUGACCCUUUUAUGGGACUGGCAUUUCAGUGGGCAUUUUUUUUUAUAGGAUUUUUUGUUGCCCUUGGCCAGUGUCCUUCCUACAUAAAAAAAAAGAAAAAAAAGAAGUGACAUCAAGAAACACAGCUUCUCACACAGAAGUAUAACGGUGUGGAAUGAACUGAAAGAUGAGACUGUGUGUGCAAAGACAAUUCAUAAAUUUAAAGAAAAUCUAUAUAAAAUCAAUAUGGAGAUGGGACAGCACAAGCCUAGUGUGGCUCUUGUCCUGUAUUUCACAACUAGGUAAAUACAACUAGGUAGAUGGGGAGCUGGUUAGUUCUGGGAGGAGACUAGUAAAACUCUGAAUGAAUAUUUUUUAACUGUCUUCACCCAGGAAAACAUGCAGGAUAUGCCAAAUAGUGAAAAGAUGUUUAGAGCAGAUGAGAAUGAGAAGCUGACAGAUAUUUCCAAAACUAAGGAGAUUGUGGAACAGGAGAUAGGCUAAAAAAAGUUCAAGACACCAAGACCAGAUGAAAUAUAUUCCAGAGUACUUAAGGAAUGUAAAGAGGUUAUUAGUGAGCCGUUAGUUUCUGUCUUUACAAAAUCACUUGAGUCAGGUGAGGUACCAGUAAUGUGGAGGCAGGCUAAUGUAGUACCCAUCUUUAAGAAAGGAGAUAAAACUUUAGCGUCUAAUUAUAGACCUGUCAGCUUAACUUCUGUUGUAGGUAAAAUAUUGGAGUCAAUAAUAACAAGGAACAUUAGGGAGCAUUUAGACAAACAUAAUUUGAUAAAUCAGUCACAGCAUGGCUUCACGAAGGGGAAGUCUUGCCUGACAAACUUAUUAAGAUUUUACAGUAAAGUGUAUGAGGCAAUAGAUAAUGGUGAUAGUUAUGACAUCUUAUAUCUCGACUUUAGUAAAGCUUUUGACAAGGUACCCCAUCAGAGGCUACUGAGAAAGGUUGGGGCACACAGGAUAGAUGGGAAGGUGUUAGGCUGGAUAAGGUCAUGGCUAAGCAACAGGCGAGAAAGAGUUAUAAUAAACAGCUCUAAAUCCGAAUGGGGUCACGUAAUUAGUGGGGUGCCACAGGGAUCAGUAUUAGAGCCAUUGUUGUUUUUAAUAUAUAUAUCAAUGACUUGGAUAGUGGAAUUAGUGAUGUUAGUAAAUUUGCGGAUGACACAAAGAUAAGUAGAUUAAUUAGGUCAGAAUCAAAUGCAAUCACCUUGCAGGCAGAUUUAGAUAGGAUGAAUGAAUGGACAGACAGAUGACAAAUGCAAAGUGCUUAGUGUAGGUAGAGGAAACCCACACAGUAGCUACACAAUAAACAACAAAACUCUGGUAGGUUCAGGGUACAAAAAAAAUUUAGAAGUUAUAGUUAGCUCUGAACUCCAUCUAGGAAAGCAAUGCAUAGAGGCCAAAAAACAGGGCAAACAGGGUAUUAGGAUUCAUUUUAGGAGUGUUAAAAGUAGAAGGCCCGACAUAAUAUUAAAGUUAUAUUUGGCGCUGGUCAGACCUCAUCUAGACCACGCUGUGCAGUUCUGGUCCCCACAUUACAGGAAAGAUAUAGGUCUAUUAGAAUAAGUACAAAGGAGAAUGACUAAAAGGAUACAGGGGAUGAGGAGUAUUCCUUAUGAGGCAAGAUUGAAGCUGUUAAAUUUACAUUCUUUAGAGAGAUGUAGGUUAAGAGGGGACCAGAUAGAAGUCUUUAAGUGGUAUAAGGGUUAUAACAAAAUUCUUAGGAUCAGCAACCAGAAUAAAACAAGAAAUAAUAGGUUCAAGCUUGAAAAAAUUUAGGUUUAAGAAAGAGAUAGGAAGAAAUUAGUUCUCAAAACGAGUGGAAGAUGAGUGGAACGGAUUCAGUAAUCAUGUUGUUAGUGCUAGGACAUUAGGGAGCCUUAAGAUAACAUUAAACGGGUUUGUGGAUGGAUGGGGAUGAUAGGUGGAAAUAGGUGGGUAUAUUUCAUAAAGGGACUGACACAUGUAAGCCUGGUCACUUCUUGCAGCUUCCCUUAUUUCUUAUGUUCUUACAUUGCAAUGUCUCUUGGUGCUGCUGUAUACUAUAUAUGUAUGCUAUAAGAUAGUGAUGAAUUUUGUGUGAUCUCUUAAUGCAACUAACCAUGUGUUCUGUCUUAUAAGGCAUUGGUGUUUGAUAAACACCUUGGUGUUGCCAAAUGUUUGUACAGGUGCGGAAAAAAAAAAUGUAUCUUAUGAAUGCUGCUGUCUUUCAUAGUAAGGCCUUGGUUUUAUUUUCUGCCCUGUGUUACAUACCUAGUGUGUGUUGUACUGUUUUUCAUGUUUUAUAAGUAGCACAUACUUGUUAACAUUUCAGAAUACCAGCUGUUAAACUAUUAAUAUA